GCCGGACGCGGUGGCGCGCGCCUGUAGUCCCAGCUACUCGGGAGGCUGAGAUGGGAGGAUCGCUUGAGCCCAGGAGUUCUGGGCUGUAGUGCGCUAUGCCGAUCGGGUGUCCGCACUAAGUUCGGCAUCAAUAUGGUGACCUCCCGGGAGCGGGGGACCACCAGGUUGCCUAAGGAGGGGUGAACCGGCCCAGGUCGGAAAUGGAGCAGGUCAAAACUCCCGUGCUGAUCAGUAGUGGGAUCCGCGCCUGUGAAUAGCCACUGCACUCCAGCCUGGGCAACAUAGCGAGACCCCGUCUCU
RNAcentral lists this signal recognition particle RNA (300 nucleotides) under Microcebus murinus (gray mouse lemur). RNAcentral describes it as "Metazoan signal recognition particle RNA (ENSMICG00000046498.1)". It matches the Rfam family "Metazoan signal recognition particle RNA". From Rfam's summary of the family: The signal recognition particle (SRP) is a universally conserved ribonucleoprotein. It is involved in the co-translational targeting of proteins to membranes. The eukaryotic SRP consists of a 300-nucleotide 7S RNA and six proteins: SRPs 72, 68, 54, 19, 14, and 9. The record is from RNAcentral. Lineage: Eukaryota; Metazoa; Chordata; Mammalia; Primates; Cheirogaleidae.